ACGUAGCAGAGCAGCUCCCUCGCUG
Molecule: non-coding RNA, 25 nt
Filed under: Drosophila melanogaster (fruit fly)
Lineage: Eukaryota; Metazoa; Arthropoda; Insecta; Diptera; Drosophilidae
Also listed under: 5 other names
Source: RNAcentral